UUAAGGUUAGUUUAUUAGAAUUUUUAAUUGUUAACUAAAAGGUUUAUCCUUAAG
RNAcentral lists this transfer RNA (54 nucleotides) under Dictyocaulus viviparus (bovine lungworm). RNAcentral describes it as "tRNA-Asn". The record is from RNAcentral. Lineage: Eukaryota; Metazoa; Nematoda; Chromadorea; Rhabditida; Metastrongylidae.